RNAcentral lists this ribosomal RNA (253 nucleotides) under uncultured bacterium. RNAcentral's name for it is "partial 16S ribosomal RNA". It matches the Rfam family "Bacterial small subunit ribosomal RNA", at positions 524 to 776 of the family's 1533-position model. The record is from RNAcentral.
UACAGAGGUCCCAAGCGUUGUUCGGAUUCACUGGGCGUAAAGGGUGCGUAGGUGGUUGGGUAAGUCUGAUGUGAAAUCUCUGAGCUCAACUCAGAAACUGCAUUGGAUACUAUCCGGCUAGAGAAUCGGAGGGGGGACUGGAAUACUUGGUGUAGCAGUGAAAUGCGUAGAUAUUGGGAAGAACACCAGUGGCGAAGGCGGCUCACUGGCCCGAUACUGACGCUGAGGCACGAAAGCGUGGGGAGCAAACAGG